RNAcentral lists this ribosomal RNA (2426 nucleotides) under Staphylococcus aureus. Its description in RNAcentral is "bacterial LSU rRNA". It matches the Rfam family "Bacterial large subunit ribosomal RNA", at positions 492 to 2925 of the family's 2925-position model. The record is from RNAcentral. Lineage: Bacteria; Bacillati; Bacillota; Bacilli; Caryophanales; Staphylococcaceae.
GAACCAGUACCGUGAGGGAAAGGUGAAAAGCACCCCGGAAGGGGAGUGAAAUAGAACCUGAAACCGUGUGCUUACAAGUAGUCAGAGCCCGUUAAUGGGUGAUGGCGUGCCUUUUGUAGAAUGAACCGGCGAGUUACGAUUUGAUGCAAGGUUAAGCAGUAAAUGUGGAGCCGUAGCGAAAGCGAGUCUGAAUAGGGCGUUUAGUAUUUGGUCGUAGACCCGAAACCAGGUGAUCUACCCUUGGUCAGGUUGAAGUUCAGGUAACACUGAAUGGAGGACCGAACCGACUUACGUUGAAAAGUGAGCGGAUGAACUGAGGGUAGCGGAGAAAUUCCAAUCGAACCUGGAGAUAGCUGGUUCUCUCCGAAAUAGCUUUAGGGCUAGCCUCAAGUGAUGAUUAUUGGAGGUAGAGCACUGUUUGGACGAGGGGCCCCUCUCGGGUUACCGAAUUCAGACAAACUCCGAAUGCCAAUUAAUUUAACUUGGGAGUCAGAACAUGGGUGAUAAGGUCCGUGUUCGAAAGGGAAACAGCCCAGACCACCAGCUAAGGUCCCAAAAUAUAUGUUAAGUGGAAAAGGAUGUGGCGUUGCCCAGACAACUAGGAUGUUGGCUUAGAAGCAGCCAUCAUUUAAAGAGUGCGUAAUAGCUCACUAGUCGAGUGACACUGCGCCGAAAAUGUACCGGGGCUAAACAUAUUACCGAAGCUGUGGAUUGUCCUUUGGACAAUGGUAGGAGAGCGUUCUAAGGGCGUUGAAGCAUGAUCGUAAGGACAUGUGGAGCGCUUAGAAGUGAGAAUGCCGGUGUGAGUAGCGAAAGACGGGUGAGAAUCCCGUCCACCGAUUGACUAAGGUUUCCAGAGGAAGGCUCGUCCGCUCUGGGUUAGUCGGGUCCUAAGCUGAGGCCGACAGGCGUAGGCGAUGGAUAACAGGUUGAUAUUCCUGUACCACCUAUAAUCGUUUUAAUCGAUGGGGGGACGCAGUAGGAUAGGCGAAGCGUGCGAUUGGAUUGCACGUCUAAGCAGUAAGGCUGAGUAUUAGGCAAAUCCGGUACUCAUUAAGGCUGAGCUGUGAUGGGGAGAAGACAUUGUGUCUUCGAGUCGUUGAUUUCACACUGCCGAGAAAAGCCUCUAGAUAGAAAAUAGGUGCCCGUACCGCAAACCGACACAGGUAGUCAAGAUGAGAAUUCUAAGGUGAGCGAGCGAACUCUCGUUAAGGAACUCGGCAAAAUGACCCCGUAACUUCGGGAGAAGGGGUGCUCUUUAGGGUUAACGCCCAGAAGAGCCGCAGUGAAUAGGCCCAAGCGACUGUUUAUCAAAAACACAGGUCUCUGCUAAACCGUAAGGUGAUGUAUAGGGGCUGACGCCUGCCCGGUGCUGGAAGGUUAAGAAGAGUGGUUAGCUUCUGCGAAGCUACGAAUCGAAGCCCCAGUAAACGGCGGCCGUAACUAUAACGGUCCUAAGGUAGCGAAAUUCCUUGUCGGGUAAGUUCCGACCCGCACGAAAGGCGUAACGAUUUGGGCACUGUCUCAACGAGAGACUCGGUGAAAUCAUAGUACCUGUGAAGAUGCAGGUUACCCGCGACAGGACGGAAAGACCCCGUGGAGCUUUACUGUAGCCUGAUAUUGAAAUUCGGCACAGCUUGUACAGGAUAGGUAGGAGCCUUUGAAACGUGAGCGCUAGCUUACGUGGAGGCGCUGGUGGGAUACUACCCUAGCUGUGUUGGCUUUCUAACCCGCACCACUUAUCGUGGUGGGAGACAGUGUCAGGCGGGCAGUUUGACUGGGGCGGUCGCCUCCUAAAAGGUAACGGAGGCGCUCAAAGGUUCCCUCAGAAUGGUUGGAAAUCAUUCAUAGAGUGUAAAGGCAUAAGGGAGCUUGACUGCGAGACCUACAAGUCGAGCAGGGUCGAAAGACGGACUUAGUGAUCCGGUGGUUCCGCAUGGAAGGGCCAUCGCUCAACGGAUAAAAGCUACCCCGGGGAUAACAGGCUUAUCUCCCCCAAGAGUUCACAUCGACGGGGAGGUUUGGCACCUCGAUGUCGGCUCAUCGCAUCCUGGGGCUGUAGUCGGUCCCAAGGGUUGGGCUGUUCGCCCAUUAAAGCGGUACGCGAGCUGGGUUCAGAACGUCGUGAGACAGUUCGGUCCCUAUCCGUCGUGGGCGUAGGAAAUUUGAGAGGAGCUGUCCUUAGUACGAGAGGACCGGGAUGGACAUACCUCUGGUGUACCAGUUGUCGUGCCAACGGCAUAGCUGGGUAGCUAUGUGUGGACGGGAUAAGUGCUGAAAGCAUCUAAGCAUGAAGCCCCCCUCAAGAUGAGAUUUCCCAACUUCGGUUAUAAGAUCCCUCAAAGAUGAUGAGGUUAAUAGGUUCGAGGUGGAAGCAUGGUGACAUGUGGAGCUGACGAAUACUAAUCGAUCGAAGACUUAAUCAA